Molecule: transfer RNA, 72 nt
Filed under: Bos indicus x Bos taurus (hybrid cattle)
Lineage: Eukaryota; Metazoa; Chordata; Mammalia; Artiodactyla; Bovidae
Rfam family: tRNA
About the family: Transfer RNA (tRNA) molecules are approximately 80 nucleotides in length.
Source: Rfam by way of RNAcentral
UCCUCAUUAGUAUAGUGGUGAGUAUCCCCGCUUGUUGCACGGGAGACUGGGGUUUGAGUCCCCGACGGGCAG